GGGGCUGUAGCUCAGUUGGUAGAGCGUCUGCUUUGCAAGCAGAAGGUCGAGGGUUCGAAUCCUUCUGGCUCCA
This 73-nucleotide transfer RNA is filed under the name Verrucomicrobiales bacterium. RNAcentral describes it as "tRNA-Ala". It matches the Rfam family "tRNA". From Rfam's summary of the family: Transfer RNA (tRNA) molecules are approximately 80 nucleotides in length. Their secondary structure includes four short double-helical elements and three loops (D, anti-codon, and T loops). The record is from RNAcentral. Lineage: Bacteria; Pseudomonadati; Verrucomicrobiota; Verrucomicrobiia; Verrucomicrobiales.